AUUGAACGCUGGCGGCAUGCCUUACACAUGCAAGUCGAACGGUAACAGGUCUUCGGAUGCUGACGAGUGGCGAACGGGUGAGUAAUACAUCGGAACGUGCCUAGUAGUGGGGGAUAACUACUCGAAAGAGUGGCUAAUACCGCAUGAGAUCUACGGAUGAAAGCAGGGGAUCGCAAGACCUUGUGCUACUAGAGCGGCCGAUGGCAGAUUAGGUAGUUGGUGGGAUAAAAGCUUACCAAGCCGACGAUCUGUAGCUGGUCUGAGAGGACGAUCAGCAACACUGGGACUGAGACACGGCCCAGACUCCUACGGGAGGCAGCAGUGGGGAAUUUUGGACAAUGGGCGCAAGCCUGAUCCAGCAAUGCCGCGUGCAGGAUGAAGGCCUUCGGGUUGUAAACUGCUUUUGUACGGAACGAAAAGCCCUGGGUUAAUACCCGGGGGUCAUGACGGUACCGUAAGAAUAAGCACCGGCUAACUACGUGCCAGCCGCCGCCGUAA
This 498-nucleotide ribosomal RNA is filed under the name uncultured bacterium. RNAcentral describes it as "partial 16S ribosomal RNA". It matches the Rfam family "Bacterial small subunit ribosomal RNA", at positions 30 to 523 of the family's 1533-position model. The record is from RNAcentral.